CAGCAUUUCACUGUGAGGUCUACUACACCUGUUUUAUUCAGCAUUUCACUGUAAGGUCUACUACACCUGUUGUAUUCAGCAUUUCACUGUGAGGUCUACUACACCUGUUGUAUUCAGCAUUUCACUGUGAGGUCUACUACACCUGUUGUAUUCAGCAUUUCACUGUGAGGUCUACCUACACCUGUUGUAUUCUGCAUUUCACUGUAAGGUCUACUACACCUGUUGUAUUCAGCAUUUCACUGUGAGGUCUACUACACCUGUUAUAUUCAGCAUUUCACUGUGAGGUCUACUACACCUGUUGUAUUCAGCAUUUCACUGUAAGGUCUACUACACCUGUUGUAUUCAGCAUUUCACUGUGAGGUCUACUACACCUGUUGUAUUCAGCAUUUCACUGUAAGGUCUACUACACCUGUUGUAUUCAGCAUUUCACUGUGAGGUCUACACCUGUUUUAUUCAGCAUUUCACUGUAAGGUCU
This 475-nucleotide long non-coding RNA is filed under the name Salmo salar (Atlantic salmon). Its description in RNAcentral is "lncRNA (ENSSSAG00000117450.1)". Lineage: Eukaryota; Metazoa; Chordata; Actinopteri; Salmoniformes; Salmonidae. The record is from RNAcentral.